Molecule: ribosomal RNA, 240 nt
Filed under: uncultured bacterium
Lineage: Bacteria
Description: partial 16S ribosomal RNA
Rfam family: Bacterial small subunit ribosomal RNA
Source: RNAcentral
UACGGGGGGAGCAAGCGUUGUUCGGAUUUACUGGGCGUAAAGGGCGCGUAGGCGGCCCUGCCAAGUCGCUUGUGAAAUCUCUGGGCUUAACCCAGAGCGGCCAAGCGAUACUGACGGGCUAGAGUGCGGAAGGGGCAAUCGGAAUUCUCGGUGUAGCGGUGAAAUGCGUAGAUAUCGAGAGGAACACCUGUGGCGAAGGCGGAUUGCUGGGCCGACACUGACGCUGAGGCGCGAAAGCUA